AGUGAACGCUGGCGGUAGGCCUAACACAUGCAAGUCGAACGGCAGCACAGUAAGAGCUUGCUCUUACGGGUGGCGAGUGGCGGACGGGUGAGGAAUACAUCGGAAUCUACUUUUUCGUGGGGGAUAACGUAGGGAAACUUACGCUAAUACCGCAUACGACCUACGGGUGAAAGCAGGGGAUCUUCGGACCUUGCGCGAUUGAAUGAGCCGAUGUCGGAUUAGCUAGUUGGCGGGGUAAAGGCCCACCAAGGCGACGAUCCGUAGCUGGUCUGAGAGGAUGACCAGCCACACGGGAACUGGGACACGGUCCAGACUCCUACGGGAGGCAGCAGUGGGGAAUAUUGGACAAGGAGCGCAAGCCUAAUGCAGACAUACGGGGUGGGUGAAGAAGUCCUUCGGGUUGUAAAGCCCUUUUGUUGGGAAAGAAAAGCAGCAGGUUAAUACCCCGCUGUUCUGACGGUAACCAAAGAGUAAGCACCGGCUAACUUCGUG
This 492-nucleotide ribosomal RNA is filed under the name uncultured bacterium. RNAcentral's name for it is "partial 16S ribosomal RNA". It matches the Rfam family "Bacterial small subunit ribosomal RNA", at positions 29 to 507 of the family's 1533-position model. The record is from RNAcentral.